UUGGCCUCCCAAAGUGCUGGGAUUACAGGCGUGAGCCACCGUGCCCGGUCUGGACUUACUUUAUUAUAUGUUAUAGACAUGUAAUUACAUAUUUUGUAUAGUUGACCACACAGAAACAGGCACUUAGGUCUCCGUCCCUCUAGCCAUUUCUCAACCGUCUCGACCGGCGAGUUUUCGUUGAGGCGAGGGAGCGCUCGCUCCCACAGGUUCGAGGGCUGGGCGGAGCCUUGGGAAACGGGCCCUGGUAAUCUCCGCUCAGUGAGUGGCGCUGCGAAGCUGCUUCUGCCCGGGAAGGAGGAGAGGGGCCUGGAACCGCCGAGGGAACCACCAGUUCCGACGCCCUGGGGUUGUGCCCUCAGUCUCUUGCCUCAGCACCUGGGUAGGUUUCCGCCUACAUGUAACCAGUGACUUCAAAUAUUCUGUUUUAUCUAAGAAGUACAACGAAGGUCAUGAGAAGCCUGAGUAGGCCUGAACUACAGCUGCCUGGGCACCAUAGUGAAGGUUAUAGGAUAAGCCCAUGCCCAGACAAACCUAGAUAACGGACAUCUGGGUUACUUGGCAACAGUCAUGUGCAAUCCUGUCUUUGUCCUGCCUCUGUAUUGCUGCUUUUCACACCACUGUAAGCUUGCUUCAAGCUAGCCCACCACCUUCUGUGAAGUAUGUAUAAAAGUCAGAUGCUGUCUUUGUUCCGGGCCCAGUCUUUUGGACGUUGAGUCAGCUGGGCCUGAGUGCACUCAAUAAAGAUUCUAGUUUCAACCUGA
RNAcentral lists this long non-coding RNA (761 nucleotides) under Homo sapiens (human). RNAcentral describes it as "HSALNT0389956". The record is from RNAcentral. Lineage: Eukaryota; Metazoa; Chordata; Mammalia; Primates; Hominidae.